RNAcentral lists this ribosomal RNA (459 nucleotides) under uncultured bacterium. RNAcentral's name for it is "partial 16S ribosomal RNA". It matches the Rfam family "Bacterial small subunit ribosomal RNA", at positions 338 to 795 of the family's 1533-position model. The record is from RNAcentral.
CCUACGGGAGGCUGCAGUGAGGAAUAUUGGUCAAUGGUCGGGAGACUGAACCAGCCAAGCCGCGUGAGGGAUGAAGGUACAGAGUAUCGUAAACCUCUUUUGUCAGGGAACAAAGGCGGGGACGUGUCCCCGGAUGAGUGUACCUGAAGAAAAAGCAUCGGCUAACUCCGUGCCAGCAGCCGCGGUAAUACGGAGGAUGCGAGCGUUAUCCGGAUUGAUUGGGUUAAAAGGGUGCGCAGGCGGUCUGUUAAGUCAGCGGUCAAAGCCCGGGGCUCAACCCCGGCCCGCCGUUGAAACUGGCAGUCUCGAGUUGGAGAGAAGUAUGCGGAAUGCGCGGUGUAGCGGUGAAAUGCAUAGAUAUCGCGCAGAACACCGAUUGCGAAGGCAGCAUGCCGGCUCCACACUGACGCUGAGGCACGAAAGCGUGGGUAUCGAACAGGAUUAGAUACCCGAGUAGUC